This 578-nucleotide ribosomal RNA is filed under the name Cainia sp. RNAcentral describes it as "partial large subunit ribosomal RNA". Lineage: Eukaryota; Fungi; Ascomycota; Sordariomycetes; Xylariales; Cainiaceae. The record is from RNAcentral.
CGGCGAGUGAAGCGGCAACAGCUCAAAUUUGAAAUCUGGCCCUCUGGGUCCGAAUUGUAAUUUGUAGAGGAUGCUUUUGGCGCCGGUGCCUUCCGAGUUCCCUGGAACGGGACGCCUUAGAGGGUGAGAGCCCCGCUACGGUCGGACACCUAGCCUCUGUAAAGCUCCUUCGACGAGUCGAGUAGUUUGGGAAUGCUGCUCUAAAUGGGAGGUAAAUUUCUUCUAAAGCUAAAUACCGGCCAGAGACCGAUAGCGCACAAGUAGAGUGAUCGAAAGAUGAAAAGCACUUUGAAAAGAGGGUUAAAAAGCACGUGAAAUUGUUGAAAGGGAAGCGUUUGCGACCAGACUUUUUCCCGGCGGAUCAUCCGGCGUUCUCGCCGGUGCACUUCGCCGGKUCAAGGCCAGCAUCGGUUUUCGGAGGGGGACAAAAGCUUAGGGAACGUAGCUCCCUCGGGAGUGUUAUAGCCCUUUGCAUAAUACCCCUCUGGGGACCGAGGAACGCGCAUCUGCAAGGAUGCUGGCGUAAUGGUCGUCAACGACCCGUCUUGAAACACGGACCAAGGAGUCGAACAUUUAUG